UCCCUGGUGGUCUGGUGGUUAAGACCUCACCUUCCAAUGUAGGGAGUGCAGGUUUGAUUCCUGCUUAGGGAG
RNAcentral lists this transfer RNA (72 nucleotides) under Bos taurus (domestic cattle). It matches the Rfam family "tRNA". Rfam says of the family: Transfer RNA (tRNA) molecules are approximately 80 nucleotides in length. Their secondary structure includes four short double-helical elements and three loops (D, anti-codon, and T loops). RNAcentral also lists the same sequence under 2 other names. The record is from Rfam by way of RNAcentral. Lineage: Eukaryota; Metazoa; Chordata; Mammalia; Artiodactyla; Bovidae.